CCUACGGGUGACAGCAGUGAGGAAUAUUGGUCAAUGGCCGCGAGUCUGAACCAGCCAAGUCGCGUGAAGGAUGACGGCCCUAUGGAUUGUAAACUUCUUUUAUCUGGGAGUAAAGUGCGCCACGUGUGGUGUUUUGCGUGUACCUGAUGAAUAAGGAUCGGCUAACUCCGUGCCAGCAGCCGCGGUAAUACGGAGGAUCCGAGCGUUAUCCGGAUUUAUUGGGUUUAAAGGGUGCGUAGGCGGAAUGUUAAGUCAGGUGUUAAACUUUGGGGCUCAACCGUAACCUUGCAGUUGAAACUGGCGGUCUUGAGUGAAGGAGAGGGAGGCGGAAUGCGUGGUGUAGCGGUGAAAUGCAUAGAUAUCACGCAGAACUCCGAUUGCGAAGGCAGCUUACUGGCGUGCAACUGACGCUCAUGCACGAAAGCGUGGGUAUCGAACAGGAUUAGAUACCCGUGUAGUC
RNAcentral lists this ribosomal RNA (460 nucleotides) under uncultured bacterium. RNAcentral describes it as "partial 16S ribosomal RNA". It matches the Rfam family "Bacterial small subunit ribosomal RNA", at positions 338 to 795 of the family's 1533-position model. The record is from RNAcentral.